CCUACGGGAGGCAGCAGUGAGGAAUAUUGGUCAAUGGGCUUACGCCUGAACCAGCCAAGUCGCGUGAGGGAAGACUGCCCUAUGGGUUGUAAACCUCUUUUGUCAGGGAGCAAUUGGCGCUACGUGUAGCGUUAUCGAGAGUACCUGUAGAAAAAGCAUCGGCUAACUCCGUGCCAGCAGCCGCGGUAAUACGGAGGAUGCGAGCGUUAUCCGGAUUUAUUGGGUUUAAAGGGUGCGUAGGCGGAAUGCCAAGUCAGCGGUAAAAUUUCGGGGCUCAACCUCGCUCCGCCGUUGAAACUGGCGUGCUUGAGUGGGCGAGAAGUAUGCGGAAUGCGUGGUGUAGCGGUGAAAUGCAUAGAUAUCACGCAGAACUCCGAUUGCGAAGGCAGCAUACCGGCGCCCAACUGACGCUGAGGCACGAAAGCGUGGGUAUCGAACAGGAUUAGAUACCCGUGUAGUC
This 460-nucleotide ribosomal RNA is filed under the name uncultured bacterium. RNAcentral's name for it is "partial 16S ribosomal RNA". It matches the Rfam family "Bacterial small subunit ribosomal RNA", at positions 338 to 795 of the family's 1533-position model. The record is from RNAcentral.